UGUUGAUGGAUAUCUAACCACUGAGGGCGUGGCUUGUCUAUAUCUGAUGCUUAGUGUAACAAUUUAUUUUAAUAUUUUGCAGACAGGAGGAAGCCUCUGCCUUUAACAAAAUAUCUUGGAUAACUGCAUGGAAAUGGGACUGCCCACUAAUCCCCUUCCUCCAGUGGAUCUUGAAUAUCACCCCAGGAUUUACAGAGAUUCCAAAUCAUACAGCAAGGAGAAGAAAUAUCAGAAUACACAGUCAACAGAAGCAGAAAAUGCUGUCUUUAUGAAACGAGCUUUCAGCCUACUGUGUUUCUUAAGUCACUGCUUCUGAAGAUUUGUGAAAUUCCACUUACUUGACUGAAAGGGUAAGCAGCCG
This 361-nucleotide long non-coding RNA is filed under the name Athene cunicularia (burrowing owl). RNAcentral's name for it is "lncRNA (ENSACUG00000013669.1)". Lineage: Eukaryota; Metazoa; Chordata; Aves; Strigiformes; Strigidae. The record is from RNAcentral.